Molecule: long non-coding RNA, 114 nt
Organism: Nanorana parkeri
Lineage: Eukaryota; Metazoa; Chordata; Amphibia; Anura; Dicroglossidae
Exons: 3
Source: RefSeq, a predicted model, not a curated record
UUAUCUUCAUCUCAUCACACCAUCGCAGUUUAUCUGGGAGCCGCCUCGCCUGGUGGCGUUUUAACUUUUCCCGUCAUGAAGCGUUCGGAAAAGAUGAAAGAAGCAAAGAUCCUU